Bubalus bubalis (water buffalo) is the source of this 1691-nucleotide long non-coding RNA. RefSeq lists it as uncharacterized. NCBI's taxonomy places the organism in Eukaryota, Metazoa, Chordata, Mammalia, Artiodactyla, Bovidae. The record is from RefSeq and is a predicted model, not a curated record. The transcript is spliced from 2 exons.
CUAACUCUAAUGGUGGUGACCAUUACUCCCUCUCUGCAGCCUGCCCAGUACGGGGUCUGCGUUUCUCUGCCCCCCACCGCACCACCACUCCGCCCUCGGGCUGCUGUGGCCCGAUCUUAUCCCUUUUUCAUCAGGCUGCCUAACUGACCGGAAAAUGCAAACGCAUCCCUAAAUGCUUGAAACCCCCCCAACAACCCUCAGCCUUCCCCCGCCCCCACCUUCCGGGAAGCCCGGCCCCAGCGCCAGCCUGACGAGCAGCACUUAAUUCUUUAUUGAAAACCAUUAACUGGAGUUCAGUUCUCUGAGCCCCAGUUUCAAAUUACCCACAGGAAACGCCAGGCUGAGAGAGUGGCUUUCAAGGGCAGAGUCAUCUCCUCGAAGAGACUGGCUCCGGGACUGGGGCUGUGGGGACUUAUUUAUUUUGAGAGGCAGUAACAGCAACGGCAGCAAUCAUUUCAACUCCUGGAUGCAUAAGAGCGGGCGAAGCACCCUCCUCUUCCUGCUCUUCCUCCCUCUCUUUAACAAUAACCCAAAGCAGCAAGGCUGGCAGGAAGUAUUAUCACCCAGGAUGGAUGGGAAACCGAUGGCCUGAGGGUCACACAAGCAAGCAGGCAGUCAGGCUCCGGAUCUCCCUGCCAGUGAGCCCCAUGACCCUCCUGUCACAGCACUUCAUGGACCACCCAUAGCGGGGCCUGCCCGGUGAGAAGCACUGCAAGGGAGACAGAUCCUAUUCAGCUCUCUGGAAAGCCCAGUGCAAUAAGCCUGCUCCUCUGUCCAUAACGCCCCUUCGGAUGGAUGAAGACAACAGCUGUUGUUCUCACAUCUCCUCUUUCCAGCCAAACACUCCCAGAUUUUGCACCCAAUAUGAUUACCAAAUUGCUAGAGGAUUUAGCCACCCUUGAGAAAGAAACAAGAAAGAACAAACAAUAGAAGUAGUUCCCUGGUGCCCGGGCUGCUCUCUUGCCUCUGGAUCGGCAGCCAGCACCGCAGUGAACUACCCGCGGAAAACAACAGUCACAGCCUGUUUGCCUUCCCCAGUCCCUCAAGUCCCACAGCCAAGCUGGACACCAGCUUGGACACUCCAGGGAUCUGUCUCCACCUAAACCUUGUCUCGUCCCUGCCCCUGACUGGCCCUUAUUUGAGCUGGGUCCAUUUUCUUGGCCAUGUUGCUGAUUGCAGUGCACGCUCAUUCCAGAAAAUGCCGACCUCUGCUCCAAGCCGCCUUGUCGGCAGUUUCCCAGACAUAGCUGGACUGUUUAUUUAUUUAUUUUUGUGUUAGCAGAGAGGAGAAAAUCACAUCGGCCUAAAAUGAAUACUAAUGAAAUGCCUUCGUUAGCUUCCUUUGUGAUCAGAAUAAAAAAUCGGAUUUCCGCAGAAUUGCAAGCCAUACAUUUCUUUCCCCCAACCUUUUUUUUUUUUAAUUUUUUGCCCUUUCCUCUGAUAGGAAGAUUAGGGACAACCAAGAAGGAGAGUUAAAGUCAUUCCAUAAAAGAUAUCUGCAUUUUUAGGGGUGCCUUUGUUGCAGAGGGACGUGGAGGUGCAAUUUCUCCAAACCCACUUUUCUCAGCCUGUAAAGCAAAUGUACCUAUUUGUCCUCUGCUGCAACAAUGCCAGCUGCAUUCAAUCAACUGAGAAGCUGCAAGCCAUAAACCUUCUUCCCCCAGCUACAGGGGUGGAGGUGGGGGGAGGGA